Molecule: long non-coding RNA, 1074 nt
Organism: Solanum lycopersicum (tomato)
Lineage: Eukaryota; Viridiplantae; Streptophyta; Magnoliopsida; Solanales; Solanaceae
Source: RefSeq, a predicted model, not a curated record
UGCACCGUGAGUUAAAUUAUACUCUUAAUUGGAGGAAACUCAUCCAUAUCCAAAUAAAUUUAAAUCAUCAUUUAAUUUAGAGGUUUAUAUUUGAUUUAAUCUUUUUUUUCUUUAUUAAUCCUCGUGAUUUUAGCUUUUGGAGUUAAUUUGAAUAGGUUUGAAGAAAAGGAUCUUGAUGGAAAUGAAUUUUGGGGGUUAAACCCCUUCAAAAUAUGACUUGGAGAACUUUUUAGGUACCCAAGUUCACCCAAUAAAGGUUGGGCAGAUUUCCCAAUAUGCCUUCAAUUGCAGAAAUCGACAGUGACAACACGUUGAAAAAAGGGCUCUGAAGUUGCAACAACGAGGAGAGGUUCGCUUAAGUGAAGUUCCCAAAAGCGACACCCUCUCUUUUAAGCAAACAUCGCUUAAGUAGAGGGGCACUCACAAAAGUGAACCCCAGUUUUAAAUGAAAGAUCGCGAAAGUGAGCACAGAUCUCUUAAGUAAAGAUUUGUGAAGUGUCAAGAAUAGCACAACAACUUCAUUUUGAGAGGAAGUUGUGGUCGAAUAUGACCAAUAUCGAUUUGUCUUUCUCAAAGCUCAGGAAAACUACUAUUUUGACCUGAUCAAGAAGAAAUUGAUGCUCUAGAGAGGCAUAACACUUUCUUAAGUGGCCGAGAUGCUUCCAAACUUUUCCCGAAAGUUGAAUAAUUCUGGAUAGAUUUGCUUUUCUCUUAAACUAUGCAACACAAACGAGUAAUGCGUGAGGAAAAUUUUAUGCCAACCUCAUGGAGGCCAAGAUUUCAACAAGGUUGGUAACUAUUUGGGGCAAGAUCGUUGACUUAAGUGUGAGGUGGUAUUGUUUGGCUAAAUGUGUCGUUAAGCCUAUAAUAAUGGUCUCUCACUUUAGUAUGUUAUUAUUCAUUGUAGCACUCACUAUGAAAAUUUUAGCUAUGUUGUAUUUAUAUAGAUAUAGUAAGAAACAAGAUACGAAAAUAGUGAAAGCAUGUAAAAAGGGAACAAAAACAUGAAAAAAUUGAGAGCUACAAAGCUAAUCGCACAUGCCACAGCGAUGCAGGCGUGUUGUGUUGGAAAAA